GACAGAGGUGCCGAGCGUUAGGCGGAAUCACUGGGCUUAAAGCGUGUGUAGGCGGACUUCUAAGUACCUUGUGAAAUCCCACGGCUCAACCGUGGAACUGCUCGGUAUACUGGUCGUCUUGAGCCACCUAGGGGCGAGCGGAACAAGCGGUGGAGCGGUGAAAUGCGUAGAUAUCAUUUGGAACGCCAAUGGUGAAAACAGGUAGCUGGGAGUGUGCUGACGCUGAGACACGAAAGCCAGGGGAGCAAACGGG
RNAcentral lists this ribosomal RNA (253 nucleotides) under uncultured bacterium. Its description in RNAcentral is "partial 16S ribosomal RNA". It matches the Rfam family "Bacterial small subunit ribosomal RNA", at positions 524 to 776 of the family's 1533-position model. The record is from RNAcentral.